AACGAACGCUGGCGGCAUGCCUAACACAUGCAAGUCGAACGAGACCUUCGAGUCUAGUGGCGCACGGGUGCGUAACGCGUGGGAACCUGCCCUUAGGUUCGGAAUAACUCCCCGAAAGGGGUGCUAAUACCGGAUAAUGUCUUCGGACCAAAGAUUUAUCGCCUUUGGAGGGGCCGGCGUUGGAUUAGCUAGUUGGUAGGGUAAAAGCCUACCAAGGCGACGAUCCAUAGCUGGUCUGAGAGGAUGAUCAACCACACUGGGACUGAGACACGGCCCAGACUCCUACGGGAGGCAGCAGUGGGGAAUAUUGGACAAUGGGCUGAAGCCUGAUCCAGCAAUGCCGCGUGAGUGAUGAAGGCCUUAGGGUUGUAAAGCUCUUUUACCCGGGAUGAUAAUGACAGUACCGGGAGAAUAAGCUCCGGCUAACUCCGUG
RNAcentral lists this ribosomal RNA (433 nucleotides) under uncultured bacterium. Its description in RNAcentral is "partial 16S ribosomal RNA". It matches the Rfam family "Bacterial small subunit ribosomal RNA", at positions 29 to 507 of the family's 1533-position model. The record is from RNAcentral.